ACAUCCACAGCUUUGUAUGCGUGUGUGCGGCAAGUCUCUAAGGCUGAAAUGUAAUGAUCGUUUCAAGGGCCUUCCAAAAUACUUAAGGCACUGUAUGGAAGAAGAGUGCAGAAAGCUUGGCAGAUGGAACCAGGACAGUAUGCCACGUUCACCUAAAGCACGACAUGCAUGAAGAUGGACUUGGGACAAACAGUAGCCAGAGGAGUGAACAAGGUCAGUAGAGAAGAAGAACAGAAAGGCAGAAACUGCAAGAUUUUCUUCAGAUGACACAGAAUAAUUAGAUUUUCUUGCAGAAGGCAGUACCAGUGAAGGACAUACCCAAACUCUCAGAAAGUGGAUCUUUGGGUAAAAUGAGACUUCUGUGAUGAUGGUAAAAGAAAACAUUCUACCCAAGGAAAAAGAAUCUGCAGCUAUUUGCAAAUCAAAUACUGGAUAUCAGCUUAUACCAGGAGGGACAGCAUCCUGCCUCUGGAGCCUUCUCACAGAGUGACAGGCAAAGAGGAGAAAAGAGCAGUUUGGAAAAGGAAAGAUGGUCCUUGUCUCUGCUUCCCCACCUCGAAUGGACAGGAGGAGUGUCCACCCAUCACGGGUCACCCAUCCUCCUUGGCUCAAUGGCGCAGAUGAGGAAGAUGCAGUGGGUGCCCACAGAGCUCGCAGUCAGGUGGGCUGCCAAGCAGAUGCGAGAUGAACACAACAUUACGACUGUGCUUUCAGAUCCAUCCAUGUUUGAGUCAAGAGGAUCUGCUGGAGGCAAAACAAUAGAGCACAAGGUGUGGGAGAGAACUGAAGAAUGAACACAUCUAUAUUGGUAUGACAUGCAGGGCAUUUCAAGGGUCUCAAUGCUGUUAACCUAUUUGAGAUAAGUGUCACAAGCUGUUAAAACCAUGGUAACCUCUGUAAGACCCAGACAUUUUUACCUGAAAAUACACUUCAAGUGACACAGAGCUGAGCUCCUAUUACCUUGCAGCUGACACAUCCUCAUUCACUGCCUUACUGGGUUAGACUUUAAGUGCAAAUGGGCAAGCUAGACUACAGAGUAGUAGAAUGUUUUGUGUUGGAAGGGACCUUUACAGGUCAUCUAAUCCAACCCUCCUGCAGUGAGCCGGGACACCUUCCACUACAUCAGGUUGCCCAGAGCCUGAUCCAGCUUGGCCUUCAACACCUCCAGGGAUGGUACCUCCACUACCUCCCUCAGCAAGCUGUUCCAGAUUUUUACCACCCUCAUUGUAAAAACACUCUUCCUUAUAUCCAAUCUAAAUCUACCCUCCCUUAGUUUAAAACCAUUACUCCUUGUCCUGUCAUAACAAACCCUGCUAAAAAGUCUGUCCCCAGCUUUCCUGUAGCCCCCUUUCAGUAGUGGAAGACUAUGAGGUCUCCCCAGAGCCUUCUCUUCUCCAGGCUGAACAACCCCAACUCUCUCAAGUCUGUUCUUGUAGGAGAGGUGCUCCAGCCCUUGUAUCAUUUUUGUGCCCCUUCUCUAGACUCGCUCCAACAGCUCCAUGUCUUUCCUGUGCUGAGGACUCAAGAGGUGGGUGUAGCACUUCAGGUGAGGUCUCAUGACAGCAGAGUGGAGGGGGACAAUCACUGCCUCGACCUGCUGGUCACAUUUCUUUUGAUGUAGCCCAGGAUACAGUUGGCCUUCUGGGCUACAAGAACACAUUGUUGGCUGCUGCCCAGCUUUUUGUCCAUCAGUAUCCCAGUCAGUCUCUAAAUGGAGCAUGGCUUGAAUUUGGUUAGAAGGGCCUGGAUAUGGCUGGCUUGGCGUGAGUUAUGCUGGCUUUGGUCCAACUGAGCUACAUUUACAUGGACUGAGUGCAAUUUGAAUGCAGGUUUGAGAUGGCAGCUUGUGAUAGGCAUGUUCUGGGCAGGUUAGACUUUACUGCGUUACCUGCCUUAGACUGUGUUGAAUUUGGAGCUGAAAGUGAGGCUGGUUUGGACCAAGUUACUCUCUACAGUGGGUGGGAGUGCAGUGGUUGGAAGGGUUUGCCUGGAUAUACUGCUGCUGAAAUGGGGCCAGUGACUUCACUAUGGCUGGUUUAAAAGACUCGUCUUACUUAUGCCAGAACUGUCACCCUGUAUGGGAAGUUUUUUGCUGGACCAGCUUUCCGUGGAUAGGAAAAAGGCUGUUCAGCAAGUGCUGAAACAGGAUCCCCAAAAGACUGACAAAAAUCUUUAGUUCCUCGAUGUCUUUAGUUCUAGCUGCCUCAAGCCAUCUCCUUCUUCCCCUGCCUGGGAGUGGUUCAUGCCAGAACAUCUGCAUCUUCUUCGCGAUCUGGUCCACCAAGUCAAAUGUGUUCCAUCACUCAGCAUCCUAGCCUUAAGAAGGAAAAUCCUGUUUGAGAAAUUCCCCAUCCAGGGGUGGUCAGCGGUGUUUGAAGUGAGGAAAUCCUUGCACAUGAUUUCUUUUUUAAUUACUAGGUUUCCUAGAUAGCACAGAAUUUCGUGCAGUUUAAUACGGUGUGUGCAUCGCCUCAGUGUUACUUGUCAAGGGGAUAAAUACUUGGACACAGGAUUAAGCCUCAAAUAAAGGAAAAUUCAAACUGUUUCCAAAUAAAUGAUGU
Cuculus canorus (common cuckoo) is the source of this 2561-nucleotide long non-coding RNA. RefSeq lists it as uncharacterized. The transcript is spliced from 4 exons. Lineage: Eukaryota; Metazoa; Chordata; Aves; Cuculiformes; Cuculidae. The record is from RefSeq and is a predicted model, not a curated record.